Molecule: non-coding RNA, 111 nt
Organism: Mycena maculata
Lineage: Eukaryota; Fungi; Basidiomycota; Agaricomycetes; Agaricales; Mycenaceae
Source: the annotation of a GenBank genome assembly
UCCGAAUUGGUGUAGUGGUUAACAUUGUCGCCUCUCAAUUUGCUUAUGUAAGCGCCUCAUUGGGUAACGUGGGUGUCGCGACAGCCAGGGGUUCGAUUCCCCUAUUCGGAA